GGGUUGUGAGGUUAAGCGACUAAGCGUACACGGUGGAUGCCCUGGCAGUCAGAGGCGAUGAAGGACGUGCUAAUCUGCGAUAAGCGUCGGUAAGGUGAUAUGAACCGUUAUAACCGGCGAUUUCCGAAUGGGGAAACCCAGUGUGAUUCGUCACACUAUCAUUAACUGAAUCCAUAGGUUAAUGAGGCGAACCGGGGGAACUGAAACAUCUAAGUACCCCGAGGAAAAGAAAUCAACCGAGAUUCCCCCAGUAGCGGCGAGCGAACGGGGAGGAGCCCAGAGCCUGAAUCAGUGUGUGUGUUAGUGGAAGCGUCUGGAAAGGCGCGCGAUACAGGGUGACAGCCCCGUACACAAAAAUGCACAUGCUGUGAGCUCGAUGAGUAGGGCGGGACACGUGGUAUCCUGUCUGAAUAUGGGGGGACCAUCCUCCAAGGCUAAAUACUCCUGACUGACCGAUAGUGAACCAGUACCGUGAGGGAAAGGCGAAAAGAACCCCGGCGAGGGGAGUGAAAAAGAACCUGAAACCGUGUACGUACAAGCAGUGGGAGCACGCUUCGGCGUGUGACUGCGUACCUUUUGUAUAAUGGGUCAGCGACUUAUAUUCUGUAGCAAGGUUAACCGAAUAGGGGAGCCGAAGGGAAACCGAGUCUUAACUGGGCGUUAAGUUGCAGGGUAUAGACCCGAAACCCGGUGAUCUAGCCAUGGGCAGGUUGAAGGUUGGGUAACACUAACUGGAGGACCGAACCGACUAAUGUUGAAAAAUUAGCGGAUGACUUGUGGCUGGGGGUGAAAGGCCAAUCAAACCGGGAGAUAGCUGGUUCUCCCCGAAAGCUAUUUAGGUAGCGCCUCGUGAAUUCAUCUCCGGGGGUAGAGCACUGUUUCGGCAAGGGGGUCAUCCCGACUUACCAACCCGAUGCAAACUGCGAAUACCGGAGAAUGUUAUCACGGGAGACACACGGCGGGUGCUAACGUCCGUCGUGAAGAGGGAAACAACCCAGACCGCCAGCUAAGGUCCCAAAGUCAUGGUUAAGUGGGAAACGAUGUGGGAAGGCCCAGACAGCCAGGAUGUUGGCUUAGAAGCAGCCAUCAUUUAAAGAAAGCGUAAUAGCUCACUGGUCGAGUCGGCCUGCGCGGAAGAUGUAACGGGGCUAAACCAUGCACCGAAGCUGCGGCAGCGACACUAUGUGUUGUUGGGUAGGGGAGCGUUCUGUAAGCCUGUGAAGGUGGCCUGUGAGGGUUGCUGGAGGUAUCAGAAGUGCGAAUGCUGACAUAAGUAACGAUAAAGCGGGUGAAAAGCCCGCUCGCCGGAAGACCAAGGGUUCCUGUCCAACGUUAAUCGGGGCAGGGUGAGUCGACCCCUAAGGCGAGGCCGAAAGGCGUAGUCGAUGGGAAACAGGUUAAUAUUCCUGUACUUGGUGUUACUGCGAAGGGGGGACGGAGAAGGCUAUGUUGGCCGGGCGACGGUUGUCCCGGUUUAAGCGUGUAGGCUGGUUUUCCAGGCAAAUCCGGAAAAUCAAGGCUGAGGCGUGAUGACGAGGCACUACGGUGCUGAAGCAACAAAUGCCCUGCUUCCAGGAAAAGCCUCUAAGCAUCAGGUAACAUCAAAUCGUACCCCAAACCGACACAGGUGGUCAGGUAGAGAAUACCAAGGCGCUUGAGAGAACUCGGGUGAAGGAACUAGGCAAAAUGGUGCCGUAACUUCGGGAGAAGGCACGCUGAUAUGUAGGUGAAGCGACUUGCUCGUGGAGCUGAAAUCAGUCGAAGAUACCAGCUGGCUGCAACUGUUUAUUAAAAACACAGCACUGUGCAAACACGAAAGUGGACGUAUACGGUGUGACGCCUGCCCGGUGCCGGAAGGUUAAUUGAUGGGGUCAGCGGUAACGCGAAGCUCUUGAUCGAAGCCCCGGUAAACGGCGGCCGUAACUAUAACGGUCCUAAGGUAGCGAAAUUCCUUGUCGGGUAAGUUCCGACCUGCACGAAUGGCGUAAUGAUGGCCAGGCUGUCUCCACCCGAGACUCAGUGAAAUUGAACUCGCUGUGAAGAUGCAGUGUACCCGCGGCAAGACGGAAAGACCCCGUGAACCUUUACUAUAGCUUGACACUGAACAUUGAGCCUUGAUGUGUAGGAUAGGUGGGAGGCUUUGAAGUGUGGACGCCAGUCUGCAUGGAGCCGACCUUGAAAUACCACCCUUUAAUGUUUGAUGUUCUAACGUUGGCCCCUGAUCGGGGUUGCGGACAGUGUCUGGUGGGUAGUUUGACUGGGGCGGUCUCCUCCUAAAGAGUAACGGAGGAGCACGAAGGUUGGCUAAUCCUGGUCGGACAUCAGGAGGUUAGUGCAAUGGCAUAAGCCAGCUUGACUGCGAGCGUGACGGCGCGAGCAGGUGCGAAAGCAGGUCAUAGUGAUCCGGUGGUUCUGAAUGGAAGGGCCAUCGCUCAACGGAUAAAAGGUACUCCGGGGAUAACAGGCUGAUACCGCCCAAGAGUUCAUAUCGACGGCGGUGUUUGGCACCUCGAUGUCGGCUCAUCACAUCCUGGGGCUGAAGUAGGUCCCAAGGGUAUGGCUGUUCGCCAUUUAAAGUGGUACGCGAGCUGGGUUUAGAACGUCGUGAGACAGUUCGGUCCCUAUCUGCCGUGGGCGCUGGAGAACUGAGGGGGGCUGCUCCUAGUACGAGAGGACCGGAGUGGACGCAUCACUGGUGUUCGGGUUGUCAUGCCAAUGGCACUGCCCGGUAGCUAAAUGCGGAAGAGAUAAGUGCUGAAAGCAUCUAAGCACGAAACUUGCCCCGAGAUGAGUUCUCCCUGACUCCUUGAGAGUCCUGAAGGAACGUUGAAGACGACGACGUUGAUAGGCCGGGUGUGUAAGCGCAGCGAUGCGUUGAGCUAACCGGUACUAAUGAACCGUGAGGCUUAACCUUACAACGCCGAAG
RNAcentral lists this ribosomal RNA (2926 nucleotides) under Escherichia coli. Its description in RNAcentral is "23S ribosomal RNA". It matches the Rfam family "Bacterial large subunit ribosomal RNA". The record is from RNAcentral. Lineage: Bacteria; Pseudomonadati; Pseudomonadota; Gammaproteobacteria; Enterobacterales; Enterobacteriaceae.